RNAcentral lists this transfer RNA (73 nucleotides) under Stegodyphus mimosarum. It matches the Rfam family "tRNA". From Rfam's summary of the family: Transfer RNA (tRNA) molecules are approximately 80 nucleotides in length. Their secondary structure includes four short double-helical elements and three loops (D, anti-codon, and T loops). The record is from Rfam by way of RNAcentral. Lineage: Eukaryota; Metazoa; Arthropoda; Arachnida; Araneae; Eresidae.
GUCUUCAUAGUGUAAUUGGAAACAUAAUCGACUUAUAUUCGAGAUAUCUAGGAUUGGAGUCCUGGAGAAGGCA